RNAcentral lists this transfer RNA (90 nucleotides) under Paracoccaceae bacterium. Its description in RNAcentral is "tRNA-Ser". It matches the Rfam family "tRNA". From Rfam's summary of the family: Transfer RNA (tRNA) molecules are approximately 80 nucleotides in length. The record is from RNAcentral. Lineage: Bacteria; Pseudomonadati; Pseudomonadota; Alphaproteobacteria; Rhodobacterales; Paracoccaceae.
GGAUAGAUGGCAGAGUGGUCGAUUGCGCAACCUUGGAAAGGUUGUGAACGUUUACGCGUUCCCAGGGUUCGAAUCCCUGUCUGUCCGCCA